UAGUAAGGUGGCGGACGGGUGAGUAACACGUAAAGACUUGCCCUGCAGUCUGGGACAACUACUGGAAACGGUAGCUAAUACCGGAUAUUGCCGCAUGGCGAAAGCUAUAUGCGCUGCAGGAGAGCUUUGCGUCCCAUUAGUUAGUUGGUGAGGUAACGGCUCACCAAGACCACGAUGGGUAGCCGGCCUGAGAGGGUGAACGGCCACAAGGGGACUGAGACACGGCCCUUACUCCUACGGGAGGCAGCAGUGGGGAAUAUUGGACAAUGGACCAAAGUCUGAUCCAGCAAUUCUGUGUGCACGAUGACGGUCUUAGGAUUGUAAAGUGCUUUCAAUCGGGAAAAAGAAAGUGAUGGUACCGAUAGAAGAAGCGACGGCUAAAUACGUGCCAGCAGCCGCGGUAAUACGUAUGUCGCAAGCGUUAUCCGGAUUUAUUGGGCGUAAAGCGCGUCUAGGCGGUUUGGUAAGUCUGAUGUGGAAAUGCGGGGCUCAACUCCGUAUUGCGUUGGAAACUGCCAGACUAGAGUACUGGAGAGGUGGGCGGAACUACAAGUGUAGAGGUGAAAUUCGUAGAUAUUUGUAGGAAUGCCGAUAGAGAAG
Molecule: ribosomal RNA, 600 nt
Filed under: uncultured bacterium
Lineage: Bacteria
Description: bacterial SSU rRNA
Rfam family: Bacterial small subunit ribosomal RNA
Source: RNAcentral